AUCUACAGCUAUACUAACCUGAACACACCCAAUCUCAUCUGAUCUUGGAAGCUAAGCAGAGUUAGUCCUGGUUAGUACUUGGAUGAGAGACAGUGUGGGCUUGAGGACGCGAAUC
This 115-nucleotide ribosomal RNA is filed under the name Tupaia belangeri chinensis (Chinese tree shrew). The record is from RNAcentral. Lineage: Eukaryota; Metazoa; Chordata; Mammalia; Scandentia; Tupaiidae.